UAGUUUAUAAAGAAAAGAGGUUUAAUUGACUCACGUUCCAGAGGCUGUACAGGAGUCAUGGCUGGGGAGGCCUCAGGGAACUUACAAUCAUGGCAGAGAGCAAAGGGGAAGCAAGCUCCAUCCUCAUAUGCCCAGAAGAAAGAGAGGAGGG
Molecule: long non-coding RNA, 151 nt
Organism: Cebus imitator (Panamanian white-faced capuchin)
Lineage: Eukaryota; Metazoa; Chordata; Mammalia; Primates; Cebidae
Exons: 3
Source: RefSeq, a predicted model, not a curated record